RNAcentral lists this ribosomal RNA (271 nucleotides) under uncultured bacterium. RNAcentral describes it as "partial 16S ribosomal RNA". It matches the Rfam family "Bacterial small subunit ribosomal RNA", at positions 82 to 354 of the family's 1533-position model. The record is from RNAcentral.
UGUUGGUAUCUUAGUGGCGGACGGGUGAGUAACGCGUGGGUAACCUGCCUUACACUGGGGGAUAACACUUAGAAAUAGGUGCUAAUACCGCAUAACAGGAGAAGAUGCAUGUCUUUUCCUUAAAAACUCCGGUGGUGUAAGAUGGACCCGCGUCUGAUUAGCUUGUUGGCGGGGUAACGGCCCACCAAGGCGACGAUCAGUAGCCGGCCUGAGAGGGUGAACGGCCACAUUGGGACUGAGACACGGCCCAAACUCCUACGGAAGGCAGCAG